Molecule: small nucleolar RNA, 122 nt
Organism: Rhododendron vialii
Lineage: Eukaryota; Viridiplantae; Streptophyta; Magnoliopsida; Ericales; Ericaceae
Source: RefSeq, a predicted model, not a curated record
AUCCCAGAUAAACAUUUCUGUGUUUACCUGAUUCAUGGGAGGCAGAUAUUAAGAUUGGUAGUUCGCUGAUAACACUCUUUCUAUCUCAAGGAGUGGUUUUAAUAGUAGCUCACCAAACAUGU